Lynx canadensis (Canada lynx) is the source of this 1591-nucleotide long non-coding RNA. RefSeq lists it as uncharacterized. NCBI's taxonomy places the organism in Eukaryota, Metazoa, Chordata, Mammalia, Carnivora, Felidae. The transcript is spliced from 2 exons. The record is from RefSeq and is a predicted model, not a curated record.
GGCCUACUGAGGGCACUUUUUGUUUGCCUAUAGCUGCCAGGGUCAGGGCCACCCAGACCAGGUUCCCUACAUCCCCGUCUGGAAAGAUCUUGUUGAAAACCCUCCACCCUAUCUUCCCCCUCCCCUUGCACCCCAGGCCCUUCCGCAGCGGCCGCCCCACCUGUUGCCCCGCUGGUUGCCCCUCAAGGGGAACCAGGGGGGGGGGCGGGAAGCGGCAGCUGUGCCAGAACCAGGGAGGCUACAGGCAGCAGCCGUGCCUAGCCCUGUUAAAAAUAAAACCAACCGUGAAGGGCCAGCCGGCCAAACUCGCGGGCGCACCCAGUGUGAGCCAAGCUCUCGCCUCCCCCACUCCACUGUAGCCUUACCCCUGCGGGAAAUAGGACCCCCCGAUGAAACGGGCAAUCCCCGACUCCAGUAUUGGUCCUUCUCCACCAGUGACCUAUAUAAUUAAAAAACCCAAAAUGCUCGGUUUUCUGAUAACCCUAGAGAUCUUAUAGCCCUCCUAGAGAGCAUAAUGUUCACCCACCAGCCUACCUGGGAUGACUGCCAACAGCUUUUGCGAAUCCUGUUCACCACGGAAGAAAGGGAGAGAAUUCAACUUGAAGCGCGGAAGCUGGUCCCGGAGGAAGAUGGUCGACCCACUGUUAACCCUGACCUCAUUAAUGCAGCGUUUCCCCUGACUCGGCCUGAUUGGGACUACAACUCGGCAGAAGGUAGGGGACGACUGCUCAUUUAUCGCCAGACUCUAAUGGCGGGUCUCCGGGCUGCAGCACGCAAGCCCACCAAUUUGGCCAAGGUGUACUCGGCAAUACAAGAUCCAUGGAACAAGGAAAGAUCUACAGGACCGGCCAUUACCUGAUGCUGAGGUCACCUGGUUUACUGACGGAAGCAGCUUCGUCCAUCAAGGACAGAGGUAUGCGGUAUGCGGGGGCAGCAGUGACAUCUGAGACUGAAGUGAUAUGGGCAGAGGCUCUGCCCAUAGAGACUUAUGCCCAAAGGGCAGAACUAAUUGCAUUGACCCAAGCAUUAAGAAUGGGGCGGGACCGCAAAGUGACUGUAUAUACAGACAGCCGGUAUGCCUUUGCCACGGCCCAUAUACAUGGGGCAAUAUACCGUGAGAGGGGACUACUCACUGCUAAAGGCAAAGACAUCAGAAAUAAAGAUAAAAUUCUGGCCCUAUUGGCCGCUAUUUGGGCCCCUAAAAAACUGACUAACCUCGCUGACCAGACUGCAUGCCAGGUAGCACAAAACCCCAUUCAAGUACUCCCUGCGCAGCUACCAGACCCAGGGCCCCGAGAUUUACCCCCAUAGCCUGAAUACUCAGAAGAUGAUCUUAUCUGGAUGCGCGAGUUCCCCAUGACCCAAGUUACAGACGGAUGGUGGAGGGACUCCAGAGACCGCCUUAUCCUUCCCGAAAAAUUGGGCCACGCAAUCCUGACAAAAAUACUCCAGAACGUGCACCCACACGCCACAGCCCAAGGCCACUGAAAAAGAGGAACCAUACCAGGAGCCCACUGGGAAGUGGACUUCACCGAGGUAAAGCCCGGCAAAUACGGCUAUAAAUACUUAGUGUUCGUAGACACUUUUUCAG